RNAcentral lists this microRNA precursor (86 nucleotides) under Trypanosoma congolense IL3000. The record is from RNAcentral. Lineage: Eukaryota; Euglenozoa; Kinetoplastea; Trypanosomatida; Trypanosomatidae.
CCAGUUAUGCCUUUUCCCUCUUGUAGUUCUUGAGAAAGAUGUGCAAGGCCUCAAGGAUUAUAAGAGGGGAAAGGCAUAAACGGGCG